Long non-coding RNA from Manduca sexta (tobacco hornworm), 621 nucleotides. RefSeq lists it as uncharacterized. The transcript is spliced from 3 exons. NCBI's taxonomy places the organism in Eukaryota, Metazoa, Arthropoda, Insecta, Lepidoptera, Sphingidae. The record is from RefSeq and is a predicted model, not a curated record.
ACAUUUUGCAAAAUGGCGUCUCGUUUAUUCUGAUGGCGGGCUUUGCGCGUUACUAGUAUAUUUGUUGCGCAGUACUCUUAUAUUAUUUACUUCAAGACACGCAUUUUUGUAGUGUUAUAAAUAUUCUUUGAUAACCCCUUUUUGCCACAACCAUAAAAAAAACUAUCGACUUAUUGAAUUGACGAAGAACAAUCUUUGAAGAAGUUUCUUAUGUUUCACCUUGUAAACAGAACAUUUUUGACUUGUGGGAUUCUUUCACUGAAACUGAAUUUAUACACAAAACAAAGAUUUAUUACAUUAUUUAGUGCAUCAGAGAACAUAACAGGAUAUUCCGAAAUAACAGUUAAUCAUGAGUAAUUUCAAAUGCUGUUCGGCGUGUUUAGUGACCGAUGUGAAAUUAUUUUAUUUAUCUACAAAGCCUACAAGUAAAUCUAUAUGCACAUUGGGACAAAUAUUUUCGCGUUUUCUCGGAAUUCCUACUUUUGAGAAAUACAGUUAUGUUUGUUUUGAAUGUGCCAGAUUGGUAUGCAAAUUUCAAGAGUUCAAGUUGAGAUGUCGAAAAGCACAGUUUAUAUUGUCUACAUUGGUGGAGGAUGACCCUGAUAUAACCGAAGAGAUAUU